AAAAUUAUUGCAAUUAAAUCUUUGAAGCGUUUAUGAACACAAUUUUAUUUUCAGUUCUAUUGUUUCUUGUAUAACAGUCAUUUUUUAAUGACAAAUAUGAAACCCAUCUCAUUUUCCUUCCAUAGAAAGUGACGCUUUCAAAAGAGGUUGACUGAACGCAUAAAGCAGAAACCGAUAACCUGCAAGAGAAUUGCGCAUUCAUGAAUGCUCAAAACUGCAGAGUCACAGGGCAGCAAAUGAACAGGAUUGGCUUAUUUUAUUAUUAGAAUUUUAAAAUCAAGCUCACAUGUAACUCAUUUGUUGAACGAGUUACUCACUAAAUAAGAGGCUUGACUCAUCUCUUUCUGGCCAAAGAGUGAAAUCUACUUGCAAUCCACAGAAAUCACAUAAAAAGAAAGUUUGAUUGAAGAGUUAAAGCAGAAAUGAAAGAACUCGAAUGGCUUUCCCUUGAUUUUAUGCCUACAGAUUGCACAAAAAUAUGAGAAGCAUUAUCCAACACGACAACUUUAUACUAGAGAUUGGCAGGGGCCGCGCGAACGCAGGCCCCCUCUACCACAAAUUAUGACGUAGGCUCUCCCAACUUGGGGAGACCUUAGACCAGCACCCCUCCAAAGUGCAAUGAAGGUCACUGACCUAGGCCAUGAACCUUUUUGAUCAUCCAUUGACCCCGUCCAGGUAAGUAUGUUGAAAGAUGCUUCACGCUUCUUAUUUAUAGGCACUACACUUCACCUCUCCUUUCUAUUUCUUCGAUGUGGGAUUGUAGCUUUCCUUCAGUUUCUGACUCGGCUUCAUUUUUUAUUCACCUUUCUGAACACCGUCAAAUUGCCCAUUCCCUUAGAACUUGCGUAUCCAUUUUCAUUUCCUUCAUCGAUAGAGAAAGGGAGAGCUCGAUAGAGAAGUGUGGAUUGUAUUGGUUCAAAUGGCCUACUUUCUAGGAAACUCAACGCCCGUGCCUUUACUUUGCAGGAAGUCAAGGCAUAGGGCCAACCAAAUUAGCAGAAUUUUAGAAGUUCCUGAGCGGAGUUAUCCUAAUCAAACAAGCCCCCGUUUUGAUAUAUUUAUCCUUCGACGGACUUUUCAGGUGAACAAGGUUCAAAGAUCUUGUUGUUCUUAGUCCCCAAAUUGGCAUUUAUAUAGAGACAAAUUGUUGAAAAAGACCAAGGAAUAAAGAUAGUUCAUGCUAGAAAUGGCUAAGAUCACCAUCAAUGUCAAAUAAGUGAUGAACAGCUCAUGCUAAUGGAUUCCACUAGUCACCAUACCUGCAUCACAAAUUGUUUUGUGGAUCAAUCUAUGAGCCAUAGCUUGUAUCUGAUAAGAUGAUGAUGAAUGGUUGGAUGGAGUUGCUUCUAGUUCAAUGGUGUUGGGCUGUUGAGAAUAAUAUUGAUUAGCGAAUAAUGGAUCGGGGGAAAAUUUUGCUUAAA
This is a long non-coding RNA of Hevea brasiliensis (rubber tree), 1421 nucleotides long. RefSeq lists it as uncharacterized. The record is from RefSeq and is a predicted model, not a curated record. The transcript is spliced from 2 exons. Lineage: Eukaryota; Viridiplantae; Streptophyta; Magnoliopsida; Malpighiales; Euphorbiaceae.